GAUGAACGCUGGCGGUAUGCUUAACACAUGCGAGUCGAACGGACUCUUCGGAGUUAGUGGCGGACGGGUGAGUAACGCGUGAGAAUCUGGCUUUGGGUUCGGGACAACCACUGGAAACGGUGGCUAAUACCGGAUGUGCCGAGAGGUAAAAGAGAAAUUGCCUGAAGAUGAGCUCGCGUCUGAUUAGCUAGUUGGUGAGGUAAAGGCUCACCAAGGCAGCGAUCAGUAGCUGGUCUGAGAGGAUGACCAGCCACACUGGGACUGAGACACGGCCCAGACUCCUACGGGAGGAAGCAGUGGGGAAUUUUCCGCAAUGGGCGAAAGCCUGACGGAGCAAUACCGCGUGAGGGAAGAAGGCUCUUGGGUUGUAAACCUCUUUUCUUAGGGAAGAACAAAAUGACGGUACCUAAGGAAUCAGCAUCGGCUAACUCCGUG
This 435-nucleotide ribosomal RNA is filed under the name uncultured bacterium. RNAcentral describes it as "partial 16S ribosomal RNA". It matches the Rfam family "Bacterial small subunit ribosomal RNA", at positions 28 to 507 of the family's 1533-position model. The record is from RNAcentral.